AUUGAACGCUGGCGGCGUGCUUAACACAUGCAAGUCGUGCGGUAACAGGCGUAGCAAUACGUGCUGACGAGCGGCGAACGGGUGCGUAAUACAUGGGAAUCUGCCCUUUAGUGGGGAAUAACCCGGCGAAAGCCGGGCUAAUGCCGCAUAAGAUCUUCGGAUGAAAGCGGGGGAUCGUAAGACCUCGCGCUGAUGGAUGAGCCCAUGCCGGAUUAGCUAGUUGGUGAGGUAACGGCUCACCAAGGCGACGAUCCGUAGCUGGUCUGAGAGGACGGCCAGCCACACUGGGACUGAGACACGGCCCAGACUCCUACGGGAGGCAGCAGUGGGAAUAUUGGACAAGUGGGGAAACCUGAUCCAGCGACCGCCGCGUGUGUGAAGAAGGGCC
This 388-nucleotide ribosomal RNA is filed under the name uncultured bacterium. RNAcentral's name for it is "bacterial SSU rRNA". It matches the Rfam family "Bacterial small subunit ribosomal RNA", at positions 29 to 417 of the family's 1533-position model. The record is from RNAcentral.